RNAcentral lists this ribosomal RNA (447 nucleotides) under uncultured Prevotella sp. Its description in RNAcentral is "bacterial SSU rRNA". It matches the Rfam family "Bacterial small subunit ribosomal RNA", at positions 354 to 794 of the family's 1533-position model. Lineage: Bacteria; Pseudomonadati; Bacteroidota; Bacteroidia; Bacteroidales; Prevotellaceae. The record is from RNAcentral.
UGAGGGAAUAUUGGGGUCAAUGGGGCGAGAGCCUGAACCAGCCAAGUAGCGUGCAGGACGACGGCCCUAUGGGUUGUAAACUGCUUUUGCGCGGGGAUAAAGUGCGCCACGUGUGGCUCAUUGCAGGUACCGCGCGAAUAAGGACCGGCUAAUUCCGUGCCAGCAGCCGCGGUAAUACGGAAGGUCCGGGCGUUAUCCGGGAUUCAUUGGGUUUAAAGGGAGCGUAGGUGGACUGUCAAGUCAGUUGUGAAAUCCACGGGCUCAACCUGCGGCCUGCAGUUGAAACUGGCGGUCUUGAGUCCGUUCAGGGAUGCUGGAAUUCAUGGUGUAGCGGUGAAAUGCUCAGAUAUCAUGAAGAACUCCAAUCGCGAAGGCAGGCAUCCGGGCCGGAACUGACACUGAGGCUCGAAAGUGCGGGUAUCAAACAGGAUUAGAUACCCUGGUAGU